RNAcentral lists this ribosomal RNA (1950 nucleotides) under Triticum aestivum (bread wheat). Its description in RNAcentral is "partial small subunit ribosomal RNA". Lineage: Eukaryota; Viridiplantae; Streptophyta; Magnoliopsida; Poales; Poaceae. The record is from RNAcentral.
AUGGCUGGAUCGAUGGGGUUCCGGAUCCAUGUCGGGCGACCACGCCUCCGGAUACUGUGGCCUCGUUCGGGCUCCUCGGUUCCUCGGGGGUCCCCGUCCGGUCGAGCUCUUCCUGCCCAGAAUCCUGUCUGCGGAAGGACGGGGUCGGCGCGCGACGCUGUGGAGAUCAGCUCCGACGAGGAGGACUCUCGCCCCACUCCCGUGGCAAGGAAGUUGCCUUGCGAUGAUGCUGAGUCGAAGAAGGGCGAGUCGGACGGCGCCGGUGUUGCCACGGAUGACGACGACUGCGUGGUUCUAGACGGCGACCCUGAUGGGGCGGUUGCCGCUGUGGAACAGAAGGGGGCUGCGGGGAACGAUGCCAGCUCCGAUGAACUGCAGAUAGUUGCAGAGAAAGGGCAGAUAGCAUGCAGAGAUUUCCCUCACUCGCGCCAUUUAUGUUCUAACUUGCCCUUCGGCACUACUUCUCAUGAGAAACAUUGUACCAUGUGCUACUGUUUUGUAUGUGAUGUCCAUGCUCCGUGCGAUUAUUGGGGUAAAGGUCUCUCCAUUGAUGAUCAUUGUCAUGCUACUGAUAAGGAAACUAAGUGGAAAACACUGAGGCUUGCGUUCAAGUGCAAAGGGCUUCCAGCAUCUCAUCCAGAAAAGGAAAAUACCGUAUACCCAGCAAUGGCGUCAGUCGGCCGCUUUUCUCUUGGCAAUCGGAGUCCUCUUCAAAAUGUUGUGAACCAAAACAGGCAAAUACAUGCUUCAGUUAGAACCGCGCCGAAUGUAGCCCCAACUGUCAGUGCACGAAGAGCAUUCCCUGUGACAAGAGCUGAAGGUAGCACAAGCAAUGCCCACACUUCUCAAGUUACUUAUCCUGUAGCGACAACUGUCAGUGCACCAAGAGCAAUCCCUGCGACGAGAGCUGAAGGUAGCACAAGCAAUGCUCACACUUCUCAAGCUUCUCACGCUGUAGCUCCAACCGUUGGUGCACCAAGAGCGUACCAUGCACCAAGAGCUGAAGGUAGUACAAGCAAUGCUCACAAUUCUCAAGUUACUUAUCCUGUAGCUCCAACUGUUAGUGUACCAAGGCCACACCUUGCGGCAAGAUCUGGAAGAGGUUCAAACAACGCUCACACUUCUCAAGUUACUUAUCCUGUAGCUGUAGCUGUAGCUCCAACUGUCAGUGCACCAAGACCACAGCCUGUGGCAAGAACUGGAAGAGGUUUAAACAACGCUCAAAAUGCACAAAUUACUCACCCUGUACAGCCAACUGUCAGUGCACCAAGAGCUUACCCUGCGGCAAUAGCUGAAAGAGGCAAUGCUCAAACCGCUCAACUUACUUACCCGGCCACUGCCAGCCACCACCUGCCGGAGCCAGAGCCGGACCAGUAUGAAGAGUACUGGGAGGACACACCAGAGGAAUAUGCGUCAGAGGGGUCCACGGUGUAUGUCGGAAACCUACCCUACCACAUUGACGAAGAGUCCCUCGCACUGAACUUCGAGCAUGCCGGAGUCGUCGUGUUCUCUGAGGUCAUUUACGAUGACAAAACAGGCCAGAGCCGUGGAUUUGGGUAUGUCACCAUGAGUACUGUUCAGGAGGCUGAGAAGGCUGUUAGAAUGUACCAUGGAUACGCGAUAUAUGGCAGUGUCAGACCUCUGACGGUAUAUAUCACAGCUCCCCGUCAAUCCGGGUCUCCUUUCGAAAUCUUCGUGUGCAAUCUGCCGUGGCAAGUGGACGACUCGUGGUUGGAGAAGCUGUUCAGCGCGCACGGCGAAGUGGUUGAUGCUAGAGUAGUCUACUAUGAGCGCAGAGGAGGGACCAGGCGUUCAAGGGGUUUUGGUUUUGUCACAAUGGCGACGGAGGAGCAAUCGUACUACGCGAUCAAUUCUCUAAACAAGCAGGUUCUGGAGGGACGUACCCUGCGAGUGAAGGUUUCGAGGGAGAGUCCACAACAAGGCUAUUGA